CGCACAUAGGCCUAAUUGGCUUUCAACUAGGCAGUUUAGUUUCGUGGAAAGGUGCGCAAAUUUUCUUUAUCUGAUAAACCCUCCUGGUUUACAUAUAAUACAAAAAACGUGACACGUACAGGUUGUAAUUUCAUAUGUGCAUUCGCAUGCGUCGUUCGCAUGUGUUACAAAUUUGUAAUUUGUAUUAUUGCAGUAUAUUAGAAUUAGGUGGCAGAAUUCAAAGGCGGGCCCAGUAUUUAAAAAGCAGCUUCGUUCCGAAAAAAAAAAAUCAGUUCGGUUUCAGAUGCCGGUGCGAGGAGGAUUCCCUCCCCAGUAUUGUCGGCUCUCUUCUGGAAGUAACGGUAUAGCAAAUUCAGUACUCUCCAGAAUCAGGGUCCGAGCUAGAGGUCGAAUUCUCUGGUAGUCGAAAUAUAUGUGACACCGCUACCUUCAGUUUAGUUUCACACACUAGGCGCCGGUACUUUUUUAGGUUUCGUCUUUUUAUUACCGGUAGGUCCCUAUUUCAUUUCAUUUUAACAUUAUUAGUAAGGUUACUUUAUACUUAUAGUUACACUCCUUUGCUUGUUGUUUACUUUCUUGCCAGUGUUUUUAAUUUUAGUUUGGUUUAUUGACUUUUAAACUGCUUAGACGUACAUAACAGUACAUCACAACCUUGGAUAUUAAAAAGUAGGUAAUGCUAUUAAUUUUACUUAAAUUUUCGUACCGUAUAAUGUUACAAUGGUUUAAAAGGGUUGUUGAUAUAAUUAUGUAGGUAAGAAAUAGCUUUAUUUUUACUACUAAUGCUGCAUGCUUUAUGUUUCCCUCUUCGAUAUACCCUUGAUCUUAAAGCAGAAAUAGCUUAUAUUUUGUCUAUAUUAUAUUACAUAAAUCAAGGUAGCGGUUAACACGUCUGUUAAAUUAUAGGCUAUAGGCCUAUAAAUCAUCGAAGAAAAGUAAAUACAGUGUUCGAAUAAAGAACAUGAAAAUA
Anneissia japonica is the source of this 967-nucleotide long non-coding RNA. RefSeq lists it as uncharacterized. Lineage: Eukaryota; Metazoa; Echinodermata; Crinoidea; Comatulida; Comatulidae. The record is from RefSeq and is a predicted model, not a curated record. The transcript has 2 exons.